This is a long non-coding RNA of Glossina fuscipes, 241 nucleotides long. RefSeq lists it as uncharacterized. Lineage: Eukaryota; Metazoa; Arthropoda; Insecta; Diptera; Glossinidae. The transcript is spliced from 3 exons. The record is from RefSeq and is a predicted model, not a curated record.
CCAAGAAUAAUUUUUGUACUACUUCAUAAAAUAGAUAAUGGAGAGAAAUAAAUUGCUAAAUAUCGGAUAUUCAGUAAAAACUUCAAAUACAGAGAGAAAUAUCAACGCAAUUUAGAGUAAUGCUCUUCAAAAUGAAGUUCGAUAUGUUUAAAGGAUUAUAACACGGGUUCGAAUCGACUCAUAUAUUAUAUAACGUAAUAUAAUCAAUGUACUUGAUUGAAGACGUUUCUGGUUUUAAAAG